AGCUGAGUUCAAAGAUCCCUUCGGGGUGAUUUGUUGGACGCUAGCGGCGGAUGGGUGAGUAACACGUGGGCAAUCUGGCCCUAAAGACUGGGGAAUACCACUUGGAAACAGGUGCUAAUACCGGAUAACAACAUGAAUCGCAUGAUUCAAGUUUGAAAGGCGGCGUAAGCUGUCACUUUAGGAUGAGCCCGCGGCGCAUUAGCUAGUUGGUGGGGUAAAGGCCUACCAAGAAGUGGGAUGCGUAGCCGAGUUGAGAGACUGAUCGGCCACAUUGGGACUGAGACACGG
RNAcentral lists this ribosomal RNA (288 nucleotides) under Lactobacillus delbrueckii subsp. bulgaricus. RNAcentral's name for it is "partial 16S ribosomal RNA". It matches the Rfam family "Bacterial small subunit ribosomal RNA", at positions 60 to 329 of the family's 1533-position model. The record is from RNAcentral. Lineage: Bacteria; Bacillati; Bacillota; Bacilli; Lactobacillales; Lactobacillaceae.